UGUUAAAAUUUCAUCCAUUUGUACUGUUUAAAACUGGUGUGACUGACAGAAUAUCCAAAAAAAUGUCAAGUGUAUCUUACAUUGAUGUAUAAGAACUAUUUUUUAAGAGUAGAAGUGGAUGAAAUUUUUAACA
RNAcentral lists this microRNA precursor (133 nucleotides) under Gossypium barbadense (sea-island cotton). RNAcentral describes it as "MIR7502 microRNA precursor family". It matches the Rfam family "MIR7502 microRNA precursor family". The record is from Rfam by way of RNAcentral. Lineage: Eukaryota; Viridiplantae; Streptophyta; Magnoliopsida; Malvales; Malvaceae. RNAcentral also lists the same sequence under 1 other name.